AGAGUUUGAUCCUGGCUCAGGACGAACGCUGGCGGCGUGCCUAAUACAUGCAAGUCGGGCGGAGCCCGAGGGGAGCUUGCUCCUUUUCGGGCUCAGCGGCGGACGGGUGAGUAACACGUGGGUAACCUGCCCGUAAGACCGGGAUAACUCCGGGAAACCGGGGCUAAUACCGGAUAACACCGGGGGCCGCAUGGCUUCCGGUUGAAAGGCGGCCUUUGGCUGCCACUUACGGAUGGGCCCGCGGCGCAUUAGCUAGUUGGCGGGGUAACGGCCCACCAAGGCGACGAUGCGUAGCCGGCCUGAGAGGGUGGACGGCCACACUGGGACUGAGACACGGCCCAGACUCCUACGGGAGGCAGCAGUAGGGAAUCUUCCGCAAUGGGCGAAAGCCUGACGGAGCGACGCCGCGUGAGCGAGGAAGGCCUUCGGGUCGUAAAGCUCUGUUGUCAGGGAAGAAGGCGCGCCGUUCGAAUAGGGCGGCGCGGUGACGGUACCUGACGAGGAAGCCCCGGCUAACUACGUGCCAGCAGCCGCGGUAA
Molecule: ribosomal RNA, 539 nt
Filed under: uncultured bacterium
Lineage: Bacteria
Description: bacterial SSU rRNA
Rfam family: Bacterial small subunit ribosomal RNA
Source: RNAcentral